CCGAUCAUGGCCGAAACAAUUUGCAAUUGUACCUAUAAAAGUAUCAAUUGUCGGAAUAGUGUAUUUAUUAUGCUUAAAUAUUUCUAGUAUUUUUGCUUAUUUUUCUUUUUAUUUUACACUACACCCACCCACCCAUCCAUCUGCGAUUGAAUUUAUGGCUACA
This is a long non-coding RNA of Octopus sinensis (East Asian common octopus), 163 nucleotides long. RefSeq lists it as uncharacterized. The transcript is spliced from 3 exons. Lineage: Eukaryota; Metazoa; Mollusca; Cephalopoda; Octopoda; Octopodidae. The record is from RefSeq and is a predicted model, not a curated record.